GCCACCGUAACUCAAUGGCAGAGUAGCUGUUUUGUAAACAGCAAGUUAAGGGUUCGACCCCCUUCGGUGGCU
This 72-nucleotide transfer RNA is filed under the name Anaerolineae bacterium. Its description in RNAcentral is "tRNA-Thr". It matches the Rfam family "tRNA". From Rfam's summary of the family: Transfer RNA (tRNA) molecules are approximately 80 nucleotides in length. Lineage: Bacteria; Bacillati; Chloroflexota; Anaerolineae. The record is from RNAcentral.